Molecule: ribosomal RNA, 497 nt
Filed under: uncultured bacterium
Lineage: Bacteria
Description: partial 16S ribosomal RNA
Rfam family: Bacterial small subunit ribosomal RNA
Source: RNAcentral
GAUGAACGCUGGCGGCGUGCCUAAUACAUGCAAGUCGAGCGAACAGACGAGGAGCUUGCUCCUCUGACGUUAGCGGCGGACGGGUGAGUAACACGUGGAUAACCUACCUAUAAGACUGGGAUAACUUCGGGAAACCGGAGCUAAUACCGGAUAAUAUAUUGAACCGCAUGGUUCAAUAGUGAAAGACGGUUUUGCUGUCACUUAUAGAUGGAUCCGCGCCGCAUUAGCUAGUUGGUAAGGUAACGGCUUACCAAGGCAACGAUGCGUAGCCGACCUGGGAGGGUGAUCGGCCACACUGGAACUGAGACACGGUCCAGACUCCUACGGGAGGAAGCAGUAGGGAAUCUUACGCAAUGGGCGAAAGCCUGACGGAGCAACGCCGCGUGAGUGAUGAAGGUCUUCGGAUCGUAAAACUCUGUUAUUAGGGAAGAACAAAUGUGUAAGUAACUAUGCACGUCUUGACGGUACCUAAUCAGAAAGCCACGGCUAACUACGUG